CGGCCAGUUCUGGUACACGUGAAUAGUAUUGCGUUGGACUCUGUUUUUCCUUUCUGAACUUUCUUAUUUCUCCAUGGCACAGAUUCAGCAACAUGUUGGAAACCUUGCUCAGAGAUUCUGGUCCAUGUUAACAUUACAGUAUUACUCAGUUGCUGCAUUUUUUAUCAGCUCCACCAUAUCCCAAAGGUGCUCUGUUGGUUUGAGAUCCAGUGAUGGUGUUUUUUUUCAAGGUGUCACUGACAUCCAUCAGAAGACGGGUACACUCGGUCAAAAAGGGAUGACCGUAGUCAGCAACAAUACUCAGGCUCCCGCCGCUGGCCCACACACCUGCUCUCAUCACCGCACCGGCCGCUGAUUCCAGCUGAUUGCAGUACUACUUAAGAUGGUGGAUAUACACCAGUCUUCCCUGGAUCGUUGAGCUAUCACCAUCAUUUCUGGAACCCGACUACGAGAGGAGUGACAGAGGGCGUGGAGCAUUUUUUCCCUGAUCCCCGUCCCCCCACGGACCCUGGCGACCUGGACCCCCUUUUCCCUGCACAUUGUACAUAGUCACCUGGUGUUGUGUUCACUGUGAAUAAACGCACUGUCUUUCGCUUAAAGGAAAACCCUGGCCUGCGCCUGAGU
Oreochromis niloticus (Nile tilapia) is the source of this 624-nucleotide long non-coding RNA. RefSeq lists it as uncharacterized. The transcript is spliced from 3 exons. Lineage: Eukaryota; Metazoa; Chordata; Actinopteri; Cichliformes; Cichlidae. The record is from RefSeq and is a predicted model, not a curated record.